This 442-nucleotide ribosomal RNA is filed under the name uncultured bacterium. Its description in RNAcentral is "bacterial SSU rRNA". It matches the Rfam family "Bacterial small subunit ribosomal RNA", at positions 958 to 1397 of the family's 1533-position model. The record is from RNAcentral.
AACGCGAAGAACCUUACCAGCCCUUGACAUCCCGGUCGCGGGAACCAGAGAUGGAUCCCUUCAGUUCGGCUGGACCGGAGACAGGUGCUGCAUGGCUGUCGUCAGCUCGUGUCGUGAGAUGUUGGGUUAAGUCCCGCAACGAGCGCAACCCUCGCCCUUAGUUGCCAUCAUUCAGUUGGGCACUCUAAGGGGACUGCCGGUGAUAAGCCGCGAGGAAGGUGGGGAUGACGUCAAGUCCUCAUGGCCCUUACGGGCUGGGCUACACACGUGCUACAAUGGCGGUGACAGUGGGACGCAAUGGAGCAAUCCUGCGCAAAUCUCAAAAAGCCGUCUCAGUUCGGAUUGUGCUCUGCAACUCGAGCACAUGAAGUUGGAAUCGCUAGUAAUCGCAGAUCAGCACGCUGCGGUGAAUACGUUCCCGGGCCUUGUACACACCGGCUAC